Molecule: ribosomal RNA, 406 nt
Filed under: uncultured bacterium
Lineage: Bacteria
Description: partial 16S ribosomal RNA
Rfam family: Bacterial small subunit ribosomal RNA
Source: RNAcentral
AUUGAACGCUGGCGGCAGGCCUAACACAUGCCAGUAGAACGAGUGGCGGACGGGUGAGUAAUGUCUGGAAAACUGCCUGCUGGAGGGGGAUAACUACUGGAAACGGUAGCUAAUACCGCAUACCAUCGGAUUGGCCCCGAGGGGACUAGCUAUUGGGUGGUUAAAAGGCUCACCUUGGCGACGAUCCCGAGCUGGUCUGAGAGGAUGACAAGCCACACUGGAACUGAUGCACGGUCCCGACUCCUGCAGGAGUCAGCGGUGGGGAAUAUUGCACAAUGGGCGCAAGCGUGAUGCAGCCAUGCCGCGUGUAUGAAGAAGGCCGUCGGGUUGUGAAGUACUUACAGCCGGGAGGGGUUAGCCGCAGAAGAAGCACCGGCUAACUCCGUGCCAGCAGCCGCGGUAAUAC